CCUACGGGUGGCAGCAGUGGGGAAUAUUGCGCAAUGGGCGAAAGCCUGACGCAGCGACGCCGCGUGAGGGAUGAAGGUCUUCGGAUCGUAAACCUCUGUCAGCAGGGAAGAACGGUCACUGUGCUAAUCAGCAGUGAAUUGACGGUACCUGCAAAGGAAGCACCGGCUAACUCCGUGCCCGCAGCCGCGGUAAUACGGAGGGUGCGUGCGUUAAUCGGAAUUACUGGGCGUAAAGCGCUCGUAGGCGGUAUGUCAAGUCAAGGGUGAAAUCCCCGCGCUCAACGUGGGAACUGCCUUUGAAACUGGCAAAGUGGAGUGUGUGAGAGGAUAGUGGAAGUCCAGGGGUAGGAGUGAAAUCCGUAGAUAUCUGGAGGAACAUCAGUGGCGAAGGCGACUAUCUGGCACAUAACUGACGCUGAGGAGCGAAAGCGUGGGGAGCAAACAGGAUUAGAUACCCCAGUAGUC
Molecule: ribosomal RNA, 465 nt
Filed under: uncultured bacterium
Lineage: Bacteria
Description: partial 16S ribosomal RNA
Rfam family: Bacterial small subunit ribosomal RNA
Source: RNAcentral